RNAcentral lists this small nucleolar RNA (81 nucleotides) under Carlito syrichta (Philippine tarsier). RNAcentral describes it as "Small nucleolar RNA SNORD115 (ENSTSYG00000031952.1)". It matches the Rfam family "Small nucleolar RNA SNORD115". Rfam says of the family: HBII-52 is a member of the C/D class of snoRNAs, which contain the C (UGAUGA) and D (CUGA) box motifs. HBII-52 is encoded in a tandemly repeated array with another C/D snoRNA, HBII-85, in the Prader-Willi syndrome (PWS) region of chromosome 15. HBII-52 is exclusively expressed in the brain but is absent in PWS patients. Lineage: Eukaryota; Metazoa; Chordata; Mammalia; Primates; Tarsiidae. The record is from Rfam by way of RNAcentral.
GGGUCAAUGAUGAGAACUUUAUAUUGCCUUGAGGAGUGGUGAUGACAUAAUAUCACGUACAAUGGCAUGACGCUGAGGCCC